UAGAACCCAAGGUUUUAUGUGGUUGA
Molecule: non-coding RNA, 26 nt
Filed under: Rattus norvegicus (Norway rat)
Lineage: Eukaryota; Metazoa; Chordata; Mammalia; Rodentia; Muridae
Source: RNAcentral